Molecule: ribosomal RNA, 949 nt
Filed under: Aspicilia knudsenii
Lineage: Eukaryota; Fungi; Ascomycota; Lecanoromycetes; Pertusariales; Megasporaceae
Description: SSU rRNA
Rfam family: Bacterial small subunit ribosomal RNA
Source: RNAcentral
GCACUUGGAGAUGUAUAGCGAAAGCUAGCUGUAUUAACUUCGACUAGUUCGAAGUUAAUGCAGUAUCGACUAUGUCGAAUAAAGUUCUAGGUAGAUUUAUGAUAAUGACAUUUUCUAUCUAUCUGUCUUGACCAAGUCACGUGCCAGCAGUCGCGGUAAUACGUGGAAGACUAGUGUUAUUCAUCUUUAAUAGGUUUAAAGGGUACUUAGACGGUGUUUUUAGCCCAAAUAAAAAACAAAGGGUACUAAUUACACUAGAGUUUAAUGAGAGGGGGGAGUGUAGUAGCGGUGUAGAGAUGAAAUUCUGUCAUACCGCUGUGACAGGCAACGGCGAAAGCAACCUUUUAUGUAAAAACUGACGUUAAAGGACGAAGGCUUUGCGUCAUCAACAGGAUUAGAUACCCAAGCAGUCUUAGCAGACAAUUAUGAAUGCCGUAGAUAAGGAGAAAUAUCAUUUAUUAUUUAUAAAUGAUAAUAAAAUAUCAUUUAUUAUUAAAAAAAAUAAUUAAAUAUCAUUUAUUAUUUCUUUUCUUAUCUCCACCCGUAAGAGAUAAAAACAAAGGGAAAAGUAUAUUUUUUGUCUUCCCCCUUAUACCACAGGUAAGGAAAAAUAUUCUUUUUUUGAAAAUAAAUAAUAAGUUAGAUUUGUCUAUAAAUGAAAGUGUAAGCAUUUCACCUCAAGAGUAAUGUGGCAACGCAGAAACUGAAAUCAUUAGACCGUUUCUGAAACCAGUAGUGAAGUAUGUUGUUUAAUAUGAUGGUCCGCACAAAACCUUACCACAAUUUGUAUGUUAGAAGGUAGUACAAGAGUUGCACGGCUGUCUUCAGUUAAUAUCGUGAGAUUUUGGUUAGUUCCAUAAAAUUAACGUAAACCCUUACUUUAUUUAUAUUAUAAAGUAGUUCACCGCUAGAUUGGAUAUGAUANUAGGGACUAGGACAAGUCAUCAGG